UCCCAAUAGCAGCACUCAGGUUUUAGGCAGGGAUGGACUCCACACACAGUACAUGUUUGCACAGAUGUAGAAUAAAGCAAGAACUUUCCUCUUACUGUAUUCUUCAAUAUGGAUUUAUCUGACAGAUGUGCCUUUCUUCAGCUUAUAAGAAACAAGCAUUAAGUCUCAAGUUUGUCUGGGUUCAAGAUGCAGCAUGUGUCACAGCAAGACGAUACAAGACUGUAUGUCAGGGGGACACCCUGGCCACAUCCCAACUGCCUGUUAGAGCAAGACUUAGAUGCUUACCACUCCUUGACACAUUAACUUUUCCUUUGGAAAGGAACUCAAGUCUGAGGAUAGGAAAGGAGCUACAGUGACAUUCACUUCUGAGGAUACUUAUACUGAAAACAUGGUCUGACUGCAGAAAAAAAAAACAAAUAAAACUGUGGUGGUUCAAACUUGA
Pezoporus occidentalis (night parrot) is the source of this 442-nucleotide long non-coding RNA. RefSeq lists it as uncharacterized. The record is from RefSeq and is a predicted model, not a curated record. The transcript has 2 exons. Lineage: Eukaryota; Metazoa; Chordata; Aves; Psittaciformes; Psittacidae.